RNAcentral lists this non-coding RNA (44 nucleotides) under Schistosoma mansoni. The record is from RNAcentral. Lineage: Eukaryota; Metazoa; Platyhelminthes; Trematoda; Strigeidida; Schistosomatidae.
AUUAGCUGAUGAGUCCCAAAUAGGACGAAACGCGCGUCCUGGAU